AAACUUAAAUGAAUUGACGGGGGCCCGCACAAGCAGUGGAGUAUGUGGUUUAAUUCGAAGCAACGCGAAGAACCUUACCAAGGCUUGACAUAAUAGUGAAUAUGGCAGAGAUGUCAUAGUCCUUCGGACACUAUUACAGGUGGUGCAUGGUUGUCGUCAGCUCGUGUCGUGAGAUGUUGGGUUAAGUCCCGCAACGAGCGCAACCCUGUUGUUAGUUGAUAACAUUAAGAUGAUCACUCUAACGAGACUGCCGGUGAUAAAUCGGAGGAAGGUGGGGACGACGUCAAAUCAUCAUGCCCCUUAUGUCUUGGGCUACACACGUACUACAAUGGCUAUUACAAUGAGAAGCAAAGCUGUAAAGUGGAGCAAAUCUAUAAAAAUAGUCUCAGUUCAGAUUGUGGGCUGCAACCCGCCCACAUGAAGUCGGAAUUGCUAGUAAUGGCAGGUCAGCAUACUGCCGUGAAUACGUUCCCGGGCCUUGUACACACCGCCCGUCACACCAUGAGAGUCUGCAACACCCGAAGUCGAUAGUCUAACCGCAAGGAGGACGUCGCCGAAGGUGGGGCCGAUGAUUGGGGU
Molecule: ribosomal RNA, 579 nt
Filed under: uncultured Oscillospiraceae bacterium
Lineage: Bacteria; Bacillati; Bacillota; Clostridia; Eubacteriales; Oscillospiraceae
Description: bacterial SSU rRNA
Rfam family: Bacterial small subunit ribosomal RNA
Source: RNAcentral